UGGGUUCCUGUCAACGUAACGAAGAGCUAACUCCACCUGAGGGUCGACUGGGAGCGUCAUCGCUGUGAGUAAAAUUAAUCUUCAUAAAACAAACAUCUUAAAUGUAUUUCUGGAGCUGCUUUAAAUCUGAAUUUUUGUCUUUUUCUUUUUAAAUCAGUUUUCUGUUUUUGAAGCUGUGAAGCUCCUCCUCCUCUGAUGUGUGGAAACUUGAUCUGGUCCUGAAGAUCUGCAGCAGAGUGAGUUCACACAACAUCUGAACAGUGUUUGUUUUUUUAAACGGACUUAAACUUGACCUUUGAC
Xyrichtys novacula (pearly razorfish) is the source of this 300-nucleotide non-coding RNA. The record is from the annotation of a GenBank genome assembly. NCBI's taxonomy places the organism in Eukaryota, Metazoa, Chordata, Actinopteri, Labriformes, Labridae.